GACGAACGCUGGCGGCGUGCUUAACACAUGCAAGUCGAACGGAAAGGCCCUGCUUUUGUGGGGUGCUCGAGUGGCGAACGGGUGAGUAACACGUGAGUAACCUGCCCUUGACUUUGGGAUAACUUCAGGAAACUGGGGCUAAUACCGGAUAGGAGCUCCUGCUGCAUGGUGGGGGUUGGAAAGUUUCGGCGGUUGGGGAUGGACUCGCGGCUUAUCAGCUUGUUGGUGGGGUAGUGGCUUACAAAGGCUUUGACGGGUAGCCGGCCUGAGAGGGUGACCGGCCACAAUGGGACUGAGAUACGGCCCAGACUCCUACGGGAGGCAGCAGUGGGGAAUAUUGCGCAAUGGGCGGAAGCCUGAUGCAGCAACGCCGCGUGCGUGAUGACGGCCUUCGGGUUGUAAACCGCUUUCGCCUGUGACGAAGCGUGAGUGACGGUAAUGGGUAAAGAAGCACCGGCUAACUACGUG
This 468-nucleotide ribosomal RNA is filed under the name uncultured bacterium. Its description in RNAcentral is "partial 16S ribosomal RNA". It matches the Rfam family "Bacterial small subunit ribosomal RNA", at positions 28 to 507 of the family's 1533-position model. The record is from RNAcentral.